This is a long non-coding RNA of Mastomys coucha (southern multimammate mouse), 1784 nucleotides long. RefSeq lists it as uncharacterized. The transcript is spliced from 3 exons. The record is from RefSeq and is a predicted model, not a curated record. Lineage: Eukaryota; Metazoa; Chordata; Mammalia; Rodentia; Muridae.
UUUAGCCCCUGAACUAGCUCAAUACUUUGAUACAUUUCUAUAAUUGUUUUGGUAUAUUUUCAAUAAUUAAUAAAACACAAUUCUAAAUUCUUUAAAGGUAUUCCUUCAAGAAAAAUGUAGGGUACAAUUUGAGCCAUUUUCAUCAACGUAUUCUUCUAAGAAACUGUGUGUGUGUGAGGGCAUAGAACAUGUGAGUGAUAUUGGAGGGAAGCACAGAGGUAGGGAAGAGGGGAGAGAGGGAGUGGGGGAGCUCAACCAAAACCAAGGAUGUAUGAAAAAGCAUAAGGGAGCCAGCAAUUGGUAAGUAAUUUAAGACUAAAAGAGUUUCAACAGAGGUGUCUUCUGGACAUCCCCAAAAGAUAUAGGCAAUUAAAUAAAAACUCAAGUGUCAGAGAUAGUCUCCUUCCCUGUGCACUGUUGGUCAGGGAGGCCUCUAAGGUUCCCCAAACAUAACUGCCACUGUGGCUGGCAGCCCACCAGAACUAGGUGAUAAGACCUUACUGCUGGUAAGACAUGUUUUGGUUGCAGGCCAUAAAGAAAUCAGGCUGAAAAUAUGCUGGAAGCUUCCUUCCUGCUGGCCAGCCCUCAAGAGUGCUGAAGAGUCUGCAGGAUGUAGGGGGAGACUUGUCAUCAACAGUCACACUUAGUUGUGAACUCUUGACACGGAAGGCAAGAUAUCCCCACUGGAGAAACAGUGGGAACAUCACAGAAGGGAAGGUAGAAAGAACACAGGCACUAGAGGAUGGAGUGAAGUGUUGAAACAUUCUGCAAUUUACAGCAACGGUCAUUACGUGUACAAGACUGGGCCAUCAAUAGCCUAUCAUAGAAUGGGAAGGGACUCCUGAGGCCUCACCCCUCCCUGAGGAUCUGAAUUUGAACUUGGUCCUUCGUUGUAGUUAAAUCAUGAAAAAUGAAGCUACUAAAAGAAACUCAAGUCAGCAAAGUGAGCCUCCUCCAUGCAGGAGACAAUAUGCUCAGCACCAGGGAGCAAGAGGAUCAAUCUGAGCUUUGGGAUCAGGCAGCACCUCAGAGCAGCCCACACUGCCUGUCCCUUAACAGCUGUCUGACACACAUGCUAAGGUAGUUUAUGAAGGUCAGAAGAAAACUUGAGGGAGUUGGUUCUCUCUUUCCACCAUGUAGGUACUACAUGGGACUGUACUAGGGUCAUUAGGCUUCAUGGCAGGUGACCUGAAAAGUUUCUAAAAGACUUAAUAACAUUAUGUAGUUCAGGCUGGCUGGAACUUGUUAUACAGCCUAUCCUGGCCUAGACGUCCUCCUUCAGAAUAUAGGGGUGUCCCAUCAGACCAAGUUAAGUCUUCACAUUCUAGAACUAAGUUAACAUAUGAAAUAAGGGCAGGUUGUACAUCGCUCUCAUGGCUAUUUAGAGUCUGUAGAAGAAUGCAGUGAGGAGGGGAGCUGAAGGAGCAGAGUCACAGUGGGGGAGGCAGGAGUAGUCAAAUGUGUUAGAGACAGGGACAGAAGACUCUGAGGCAUUAACACAUCAUUUAGAAUUUAUCACCCAACCUGCUUAUUAGAAAUGCAGGCUCCAUCUAUUAAAAAGCUCUUUUCAUUCAGAGAUGGACCUCAUAAGUGAUUUUGCAGAUGCUUCUUUGUUCAUAUUUCUUUUAUUAAGAAAUAUUUUCUAGAAAAGAUGCAGUGUAAGGAUUUAACAUUUAUCCCCACAAUUAUAAUUAGCAAAGGAAUAAGAAAAUCCACAUAUGAAAUAAAAUACAAACAUGAAGUACUAUUAAUAAGUACACCAAGAGUGACAAGGAGGUGCCAAA